UACGGAGGGUGCAAGCGUUAUCCGGAUUCACUGGGUUUAAAGGGUGCGUAGGUGGGCAGUUAAGUCAGUGGUGAAAUCUCCGGGCUUAACCCGGAAACUGCCAUUGAUACUAUCUGUCUUGAAUAUCGUGGAGGUAAGCGGAAUAUGUCAUGUAGCGGUGAAAUGCUUAGAUAUGACAUAGAACACCUAUUGCGAAGGCAGCUUACUACGCAGAUAUUGACGCUCAUGCACGAAAGCGUGGGGAUCAAACAGG
This 253-nucleotide ribosomal RNA is filed under the name uncultured bacterium. Its description in RNAcentral is "partial 16S ribosomal RNA". It matches the Rfam family "Bacterial small subunit ribosomal RNA", at positions 524 to 776 of the family's 1533-position model. The record is from RNAcentral.